RNAcentral lists this ribosomal RNA (253 nucleotides) under uncultured bacterium. RNAcentral's name for it is "partial 16S ribosomal RNA". It matches the Rfam family "Bacterial small subunit ribosomal RNA", at positions 524 to 776 of the family's 1533-position model. The record is from RNAcentral.
UACAGAGGGUGCAAGCGUUGUUCGGAAUUACUGGGCGUAAAGCGUGCGUAGGCGGCCUGUCGCGUCGGAUGUGAAAGCCCGGGGCUUAACCCCGGGUCUGCAUUCGAUACGGGCAGGCUAGAGUUCGGUAGGGGAGAUCGGAAUUCCUGGUGUAGCGGUGAAAUGCGCAGAUAUCAGGAGGAACACCGGUGGCGAAGGCGGAUCUCUGGGCCGUAACUGACGCUGAGGAGCGAAAGCAUGGGGAGCGAACAGG